This 502-nucleotide ribosomal RNA is filed under the name uncultured Acaulospora. RNAcentral describes it as "SSU rRNA". It matches the Rfam family "Eukaryotic small subunit ribosomal RNA", at positions 591 to 1092 of the family's 1831-position model. The record is from RNAcentral. Lineage: Eukaryota; Fungi; Glomeromycota; Glomeromycetes; Diversisporales; Acaulosporaceae.
CCAAUAGCGUAUAUUAAAGUUGUUGCAGUUAAAAAGCUCGUAGUUGAAUUUCGGGAUUUAUCCGUUGGUCGGGCUUUUGGGUCUGUACUGGCGUGAUGGAUUUCUACCUUCUGAAUAACCGGCAUGUCAUUAAUUUGGUGCGCCGGGGAAGCAGGACUGUUACCUUGAAAAAAUUAGAGUGCUUAAAGCAGGCUAUUGCCUGAAUACAUUAGCAUGGAAUAAUGAAAUAGGACGGCAUGGUUCUAUUUUAUUGGUUUCUAGGAUCACCGUAAUGAUUAAUAGGGAUAGUUGGGGGCAUUAGUAUUCAAUUGUCAGAGGUGAAAUUCUUGGAUUUAUUGAAGACUAACUUCUGCGAAAGCAUUUGCCAAGGAUGUUUUCAUUAAUCAAGAACGAAAGUUAGGGGAUCGAAGACGAUCAGAUACCGUCGUAGUCUUAACCAUAAACUAUGCCGACUAGGGAUCGGACGAUGUUAAUUUUUUAAUGACUCGUUCGGCGCCUUACG